Molecule: ribosomal RNA, 510 nt
Filed under: uncultured soil bacterium
Lineage: Bacteria
Description: bacterial SSU rRNA
Rfam family: Bacterial small subunit ribosomal RNA
Source: RNAcentral
UCCUACGGGAGGCAGCAGUGGGGAAUAUUGCACAAUGGGCGCAAGCCUGAUGCAGCAACGCCGCGUGAGGGAUGACGGCCUUCGGGUUGUAAACCUCUUUUAGCAGGGAAGAAGCGAAAGUGACGGUACCUGCAGAAAAAGCGCCGGCUAACUACGUGCCAGCAGCCGCGGUAAUACGUAGGGCGCAAGCGUUAUCCGGAAUUAUUGGGCGUAAAGAGCUUGUAGGCGGUUUGUCGCGUUUGCUGUGAAAUCCCGAGGCUCAACCUCGGGUCUGCAGUGGGUACGGGCAGACUAGAGUGCGGUAGGGGAGAUUGGAAUUCCUGGUGUAGCGGUGGAAUGCGCAGAUAUCAGGAGGAACACCGAUGGCGAAGGCAGAUCUCUGGGCCGUAACUGACGCUGAGGAGCGAAAGGGUGGGGAGCAAACAGGCUUAGAUACCCUGGUAGUCCACCCCGUAAACGUUGGGAACUAGUUGUGGGGUCCAUUCCACGGAUUCCGUGACGCAGCUAACG